CCCUUAGAUGUUCUGGGCUGCACGCGCGCUACACUGAUGCGCUCAACGAGUUUUAACCUUGCCUGGAAAGGUUGGGUAAUCUUUUUAAAACGCAUCGUGAUGGGGAUAGAUUAUUGCAAUUAUUAAUCUUCAACGAGGAAUUCCUAGUAAGCGCGAGUCAUCAGCUCGUGCUGAUUACGUCCCUGCCCUUUGUACACACCGCCCGUCGUUCCUACCGAUUGAGUGAUCCGGUGAAUAAUUCGGACUGCGGCAUUGACCGGUUCCCGAUCGUUGCUGCGGAAAGUUUAGUGAACCUUAUCACUUAGAGGAAGGAGAAGUCGUAACA
RNAcentral lists this ribosomal RNA (325 nucleotides) under uncultured eukaryote. Its description in RNAcentral is "partial 18S ribosomal RNA". It matches the Rfam family "Eukaryotic small subunit ribosomal RNA", at positions 1470 to 1796 of the family's 1831-position model. The record is from RNAcentral.